UGGCCAUCCAAGGGGAGUCCUGGUUGGACUGAGAUUUGCCAAAACUGGCAAGAACCCUUCGAACCUGAUCCGGGUCAUGCCGGCGAAGGGAUCGGAUGUCCUCCGCCCC
RNAcentral lists this non-coding RNA (109 nucleotides) under Rhodospirillaceae bacterium LM-1. RNAcentral's name for it is "TPP riboswitch aptamer (THI element)". It matches the Rfam family "TPP riboswitch aptamer (THI element)". From Rfam's summary of the family: Vitamin B(1) in its active form thiamin pyrophosphate (TPP) is an essential coenzyme that is synthesised by coupling of pyrimidine and thiazole moieties in bacteria. The record is from Rfam by way of RNAcentral. Lineage: Bacteria; Pseudomonadati; Pseudomonadota; Alphaproteobacteria; Rhodospirillales; Rhodospirillaceae.